Long non-coding RNA from Mus musculus (house mouse), 1570 nucleotides. RefSeq annotates it as predicted gene, 32627. The transcript has 4 exons. Lineage: Eukaryota; Metazoa; Chordata; Mammalia; Rodentia; Muridae. The record is from RefSeq and is a predicted model, not a curated record.
GGAAAGGAAGACAGUGGCGAAGAGGACACUGGUGGCUUCCACGAUGUGACUGAAGGGAGGCUUGCAGGAUGUGUGCCUGGGCACUUGUGUUUUCAAUGGAGCUUCCUGGCCUUCUGACCUCACAGUCUCUGUGCAGAAAGGCUGAAGUUUGGACAUCACUUGCUGAGUGGCAACAACCUCUCUUCAGAUGCUGCCUGGUGUGGAUGACAAGGGUCAUGGCAGGAGAGGAAAUGCUCUGGACAGCACCAAGGGAGAACACAGGCCGGGGCAUUUGAUGCUCUGGCCACACCCAAACCCUCAUUCUCUACAGCAGAACCAGCCGUAGCUACAAAGCCAAGGAAGGCUGUGGACAGAGGUUGCUCUGGAACAUUCUGUCUUCACAUUUAGGAGCAGCCAUUUUGAGGAGAGGAGGUAGGGAAGUGGGGUCUUAGCCAGGCCCCACAUACUCCUACAUCAUUUGGCUGUCUGUAGUGCAGGCGAGGGGCCCAGGGUAGAGUGGCCUUUGCUCCCUGAGAGUGGCAGGUAGUGAGCUGGGCCCUAUCUGCAGCUUUGAUGGAUUGUUUUCUCAGCCCAGGUGGCUGCAGAGAGGAGCAGGUGACUCAAGCACCGGUGACGCUUACUAGAGUCCAGGUAGCUGACAGAAGUGGCCAGCCUCAGCUCUUGGUGGUGACCUUCUUUAGGCUCCCCCAAGAAGGUGGAACCAGACCAAGCAACAUAUCCAUGUGGUCCUCCUGGGGGAAGCAGAGCCUCCAUCCGUGUGAGGAUUGCCUGUGGCUCCUGUUUGGGAGCUAUUGAAAAAAAAAAAAACCAACAUUCUUGGCAAGCCAGGAAAACACCCAAUGGGCCCUUGUCUCCAGACUCCCAGCUCCGGUUCAUGCACAGUAUGGCAUCUUGUGACUUGUACUUUCAACAGAAAGGUAGCAAGACCCAGGGCAAGUCCAGCGCUGCUGUUCACUGACCUUGUAAUCAAAGCAUCUAUAUUCUCCACAGACUCAUCCCUGCACAUCUAUCCUGGCUGGACCCAUUCACUUAGGAGAGAGCCCCUUAGCUGUCCUCAGUCUAUCCCACAGCAUGCCCCAGCAGCUCCCUCCCUGCCUCUCUUCCCUUCCAUGCAUGCUCACUGCGCUUCCCUCUGAGAAACCUCCCUCCUCUUCAUGGUGUGUUUUUAAGGAAAUACCAAGUGUUGGAACAAAUAAACUCCAAACACUCUUGGUUGAAGAUAGCAGGUUUAUUGAUUGUUCUCACAGCAGUCGAGAAGCAGGUGGUUACACCCUGCAGGUGGCCGGUCUCCUUACAUGCUGGGGUGAAGAGAGGGACACUCUUCCAACCUAUCGCUGCCAUUCCUGGCUUCAUCUGACUCCAGAUGGGGAGGAGGAGAAGACACACAUGCUUCUUAAAAGCCCAUCUAGAUCGGACAUUCAACCUCCCCACAAGAUUCCGCCAUUGACCCACAACGCCACCUGGAGCUGCUCUGUGGUGUGCCAAAGCCUUAUCAUGCCCAGCAUGAGCCUGGAAAACACAAGUGACACCCAUCACCACGGUAAGCAGAGAAACCCCGAGGCCAGCAGCA